UAGUCCACGCUGUAAACGAUGAGUACUAGCUGUUGGGCCUGGUGUAAAAGGUUUAGUGGCGCAGCUAACGCGAUAAGUACUCCGCCUGGGGACUACGGCCGCAAGGUUAAAACUCAAAGGAAUUGACGGGGACCCGCACAAGCGGUGGAGCAUGUGGUUUAAUUCGAUGCAACGCGAAGAACCUUACCUACCCUUGACAUCCUAAGAAGACGAAAGAGAUUUUGUUGUGCCUUCGGGAACUUAGAGACAGGUGCUGCAUGGCUGUCGUCAGCUCGUGUUGUGAGAUGUUGGGUUAAGUCCCGCAACGAGCGCAACCCUUGUCUUUAGUUGCCAUCAUUUAGUUGGGCACUCUAGAGAAACUGCCGGUGACAAACCGGAGGAAGGUAAGGAUGACGUCAAGUCAGCAUGCCCCUUACGCUCUGGGCUACACACGUGCUACAAUGGUCGUGACAAAGAGUUGCUAGUCUGCGAAGGCAAGCCAAUCUCAUAAACGCGGCCUUAGUUCGGAUUGCG
RNAcentral lists this ribosomal RNA (513 nucleotides) under uncultured bacterium. Its description in RNAcentral is "bacterial SSU rRNA". It matches the Rfam family "Bacterial small subunit ribosomal RNA", at positions 791 to 1302 of the family's 1533-position model. The record is from RNAcentral.